RNAcentral lists this long non-coding RNA (459 nucleotides) under Podarcis lilfordi (Lilford's wall lizard). The record is from RNAcentral. Lineage: Eukaryota; Metazoa; Chordata; Lepidosauria; Squamata; Lacertidae.
UGCUGUGACAUAAUUUAUUUGUGAUGUCAGAAACCAGGUGUCAGCAAUGACUGUGGGGGAGAGAGUCACAGUCUUGGAGGCUGGAAGAGGGUUAGAGGAGGAUGAUUGUAGGAAACCUAUGUCUAAACAAGGGCUUUUCUGAAGGACCACAGAAGGUGUGAAGGCAGCAGCAAAGGAAGCAGAAGUGACCCUGGUUACUUCACAUUGCAUCAGGGAUAGUAGUAUCCCUCUGCCCUUUUGUCCACAAAUCCUUGUAAAGGAUCAGUCAGGGUACAAUUGUGAUUGUCAGAAACUACUACUUCUCCCUGGUUUGAGAUAAAGGGAAAUGCCUGCUGCAUCAGACCAAAGGCCCAUGGAGUCAAGUAAUCUCUUUCCAUCACCAGUGAUCAAGGCAGGGGCCUCUAGAAAGCCCAUAAGCAGAGUAUGAUGUCGGACAACCGACAUCAUAAUGAUGAACAG